RNAcentral lists this ribosomal RNA (496 nucleotides) under uncultured bacterium. RNAcentral's name for it is "partial 16S ribosomal RNA". It matches the Rfam family "Bacterial small subunit ribosomal RNA", at positions 28 to 507 of the family's 1533-position model. The record is from RNAcentral.
GACGAACGCUGGCGGCGUGCCUAAUACAUGCAAGUCGAGCGGACAAAGCGGAGCUUGCUCCUCGAUGUUAGCGGCGGACGGGUGAGUAACACGUGGGCAACCUGCCUGUAAGACUGGGAGAACUUCGGGAAGCCGGAGCUCAUACCGGAUAAUGCUUUUGAACUCAUGUUCGACAGCUGAAAGAUGGUUUCGGCUAUCACUUACUGAUGGGCCCGCCGCGCUUUAGCUAGCUGGUUAGGGAGCGGCUUACCCAGGCAACGAUGCGUAGCCGCCCUGAGAGGGUGAACGGCCACACUGGGGCUGAGACACGGCACAGACUCCUACGGGAGGAAGCAGUAGGGACUCUUACGCAAUGGAGGAGAGUCGGACGGAACAACGCCGCGUGAGUGAUGAAGGUUUUCGGAUCGUAAAACUAUGUUGUUAGGGAAGAAGUAGUGCCGGAGUAACUGCCAAUAUCUUGACGGUACCUAAACAAAAAGCCACGGCUAACUACGUG